AGUGAACGCUGGCGGUAGGCCUAACACAUGCAAGUCGAACGGCGGCACAGUAAGAGCUUGCUCUUACGGGUGGCGAGUGGCGGACGGGUGAGGAAUACAUCGGAAUCUACUUUUUCGUGGGGGAUAACGUAGGGAAACUUACGCUAAUACCGCAUACGACCUACGGGUGAAAGCAGGGGAUCUUCGGACCUUGCGCGAUUGAAUGAGCCGAUGUCGGAUUAGCUAGUUGGCGGGGUAAAGGCCCACCAAGGCGACGAUCCGUAGCUGGUCUGGGAGGAUGAUCAGCCACACUGGAACUGAGACACGGUCCAGACUCCUACGGGAGGCAGCAGUGGGGAAUAUUGGACAAUGGGCGCAAGCCUGAUCCAGCCAUACCGCGUGGGUGAAGAAGGCCUUCGGGUUGUAAAGCCCUUUUGUUGGGAAAGAAAAGCAGCAGGUUAAUACCCCGCUGUUCUGACGGUACCCAAAGAAUAAGCACCGGCUAACUUCGUG
Molecule: ribosomal RNA, 492 nt
Filed under: uncultured bacterium
Lineage: Bacteria
Description: partial 16S ribosomal RNA
Rfam family: Bacterial small subunit ribosomal RNA
Source: RNAcentral